Molecule: long non-coding RNA, 32400 nt
Filed under: Lynx pardinus (Iberian lynx)
Lineage: Eukaryota; Metazoa; Chordata; Mammalia; Carnivora; Felidae
Source: RNAcentral
GGGUCCUCUGUAGAAAUAGUAGGAGCUUGGGAUACAGAAUAACACAACCAGUUUCUUUAGGAGAGGGAGUUCCCUAGGGGCGGAGCCGUGUACCUGGUCAACCUGACUGUAUCCUGGACUCCGGUGAAUCUGGGUUGACUUUGGACAGGUAAGAGGGGGUUGAGGCAAUACUGAUGUGAGUAUUCUGUCGGCUGUCAAAUGUUGGACAAGUACCCUGCUCCCAAUUUUUAAUGGCUAAAUAUUUUGAAAUAAGCUGUUUAUAGUUUUAAAAGUAUUUAUGUAUUGACUUAUUUAUAUAGAGCAGAGUAUGGAGCAUUGUACAUAACAUUUUUUUCUUUUGAAAUUGAUCAAAACAGUAGAUCAACAUUACCAAAAGCUAAGGGAAAAAAGGGUGGGGGGGGGGGGAAUAAUCCAUUAUCCUACCUUCUGUUUUUUCUGCAUGAAAAUAGAUUUGAGAGCUGUAAGUGUGGUUCAGUCAGUUAAGUGCCUGACUCUUGAUUUCAGGUCAGGUCAUAAGAUCAAGCCCCUCGUGGGAUUUGUGCUGGGUGUGGAGCCUGCUUAGGAUUCCCUCUCCCUCUCUCUCUGCCCCUCCCCUGCUCGCACAUGCACUCUCUCUCUCUCUCUCUCAAAACAAACAAACAAGAUUUGGACAUGGUCUCAAUCAUAAUGCACAUAUAAUUUGUAUUCUGCUUUUCUUUUUUUUUUUUUUAAGGUUUGUGUAUUUAGAGGCGCCUGGGUGGCUCAGUUGGUUAAGCAUCCGACUUUGGCUCAGGUCAUAAUCUCGUGGUUUGUGAGUUCAAGCCCGCAUCAGGCUCUCUGCUAACAGCUUAGAGCCUGGAGCCUGCUUCGGAUUCUCUCUCUCUCUCUCUCUCUGCUCCUCCCCUGCUUGUGCUCUGUCUCUCUCUCUCAAAAAUAAAUAAACAUUAAAAUUUUUUUUUUAAUUUAUGUAUUUAUUUUUGAGAGAGAGAGAGAGAAUGUGAGAGAGAGUGAGUGGGGAAGGGGCAGAGAGAAAAUACCAAGUAGACUCUGCACUGUUAGUGCAGAGCCAGACACGGGGCUUGAUCUCACAGACUGUGAGAUCAUGACUCGAGCUGAAACCAAGAGUUUAGAUGCUUAACGGACCGAGCUGCCCAGGCACUCCUGUGUUCUGCUUUAAAAAAAAAAUUGUUUUUUAAUGUUUUUAUUUUUGAGACAGAGAGAGACAGAGCAUGAACGGGGGAGGGUCAGAGAGAGAGGGAGACACAGAAUCCGAAGCAGGCUCCAGGCUCUGAGCUGUCAGCACAGAGCCCGAUGCCAGGCUCGAACCAUGAACGUGAGAACAUGACCUGAGCCAAAGUCCGACACCCAACUGACUGAGCCACCCAGGCACCCCUCUUCAUAAUUCAUUUUUAAUGUCUGUGUAAUAUCUCAUUAGAAAGAUGUACCAUAACUAACAUUUUCCCUAUUAUUGGGCAUCUAAGUUGAUUCACAUUUUGUAGUGAACAUCUCUUUUGGGGUGGGGGGGGGGCGGGGAUCAUUUCUUAAGAUCAGUUCCAGCAGUAAGAUUACUGUGUCAAAGGGAAGAGACAUUUUUAUGACUCUUGAUACACAUUGUUAAACUGUUUUACAAAAGGUUUGACCUUCUUUGCACAACUUAAAGGUGAAUCAUCAGCCAUGAUCCAGGGCUUACAUUUUGGACAGUUAAUUAUUAUUUCCAUAUUAGGCAGAGAGACAAGUUCUGUGCACAUUUGAACUUCUUCUAAUUGCUUUCAUUACAUAGAGCUGACUUGUCGAGAAAAAUGUCCUGGCUGUGAGACAUUCCAGACAACAGAGCCAUCACUUUUGAAAAGUUUGGACCAAUCCCAAUUUUGUAAUCAGUUCCCAGGGCUGUUCAUAUUUUUUUUGGCAGAGAUGUCUGUCUCUGUGGUCAAAUGCAGCUGAAUGGUUGAAGUCACAGGGUGAGCUGAUCAAGGUGCCUAUUUUAGCAUUAGAUUGGCAGUCUGUGGCCAGGUGUCUGGGUAUUUUGAGAGAAGUCAUUUUGAAAAGUAAUUUGCAAUUCAUAACCAUGAAUAGUAUCAGAAGAGUCAUAUGCAGGUCCUCUGUGGAAAUUCUCCCCCCUCCCCUUCCCUAUACCAAUUGGAAGAUAAUCAUUGGGUUUUGGUGGAAACACAUGAACUGCAAGGAAGUCAGGAUGCUUUAGUCCUGGCCACACAUCUCAUGGUGCCUGUGCUUUGAGCUGGGUUUCCCCCUCUGACAAACAAGAAUGUUGGAAGCAAGAGUCCCAAAGUCCCUAAAAUUUUUUAGGUUCUCUGUCCAGUGGAUGACUCCAAUUGUAUCUUCAUUUUUAAAAAAAAUGUUUAUUUUUCGGAGGAAAAGAGAGGGCACAUGUGCGAGUGGGGGAGGGGCAGAGAGAGAGGGAGGGAGAGAGAGAACCUCAAGCAGGCUCUGCACGUGAUUCAGGACUCGGGGCUCAAACUCACACACCGUGAGAUCAUGACCUGAGCUGAAAUCAGAGUCAGAUGCUUAACUGACUGAGCCACCCAGGCGCCCCUGUAUCUUCAUUUUUGUAGCCAAAGAUGUAAUUUCCCUAUUCACUGGUGGUUCUGUCAGACAACAAUGGAAAAGAACAGGAUGUGAAACACAAACCAAUGUUUAUAUUUUGACAUUUCCACUAAAAGGUUUCAUGGCAUAUAUAAUUAGAACUAAUGGCUAUAACUAUGUUAACUACCUAUGGCUUGAAAUUACUGAGACCAUCCCUGUUCCUCAUUAAUAUGUUAAACAUAAAACCAGGAAAAAAAAAGUAGCACUCACUCUUGUCCAGCAGGUUGAGAGGAAGUUGAUCCAAUCUGUGUAACUGGUCUUAAAUUUACUGACCAUUACUUUAUUUGCUGACUGUAAAAAUUCUAGCAUAAAAAAUAGCAUUCUCAGCAGCAACAUUUUCAAACAUGAAGGCCAAUGAUAUUUUAUUUAGCAUAGCAUAUUUAUUUAUUUAUUUUAUUUAUUUUUAUUUAUUUUUGAGAAAGAGACAGAGUGCAAGCGGGGGAGGAGCAGAGAGAAAGGGAGACACAGAAUCCAAAGCAGGCUCCAGGCCCUGAGCUGUCAUCACAGAGCCCAAUGUGGGGCUCAAACCCACAAACUGUGAGAUCAUGACCUGAGCUGAAGUUGGACGCUCAACCGACUGAGACACCCAAGUGCCCCUAGCAUAGCAUUUUUAAAAUCUAAAAGCAAUUUGAUAAAAGAAAAAAAAAAAAAAAAAAAAAAACAACUUUGGCCAUUUAGGGGAAGAAUAAAGGAUACAGUCACUUUCUGUUAGCUCAACUGAAUUAUUUUUCACUUAGUCUCUUAAUAGCAGUAGCUAUUCUCAUUUUCUCCUAUGAAGGCACAGUCAGAAGAGAGAUUUAAUCAUGAAGUUUGUGGUCACUUUAAUGUAGUUGCUCUUAGAAGGCUUUUCAGUUGACUAUGGAAACUUCAUCAUGAGAGGCAAGGUGAAGGUCACUCUAGCUGAGUUUGAGCAGUUUACUUAACCUGUCUGCUUCUCUACUAGUAAAAUGGGUUGUUGUGUGGAUUCAAGCUAAUAUAGUAAAAGCACCGAGCUACUCUCUUGCACGUGAGGAUGCUAUAUUUAGAGAGGAACCCAAUUCUCAACCUCUCCCCAAGGGAUAGUUGCAGGAAAGUGCUGGAUGUCAGGCCUGAAGGGUUGAAACAGUUUGAAAGUUUGAAAGCAGCUUUUAGCAUCAUAAAGCCAUCCAUAUUCUUUCAUCAAAUUCAGCUGUUUUGUUUUUUGUUUUUUUGAAUGCCUAUGAUGAACCAGGUACUAGGGGUACUAUUGUGAACAAAACAGAAAGAGGUCCUGCCCUGCCGAGUGGACAGACAAUAAGUAAACAAACAGGAUUCACCAGAUGGAGAUAAGUGCUAUUAAAAAAAGAAAAAAACAAAACAAAAACAAAAACAGAGUAUGGAGAUAAGAUAGAGAGUGAUAGGAUGGGAGGGAUGCUGUUUUGGAUAGAGCUUUCAGGUCAAAUAAGAUCAGUCUCUUUCACCAGAAGACAUUGGAGCAGUGUUCCUGAAAGAAGUGAGGGUGCUCUGAACUUGUGAUAUGAAUCCUGGGCAGAAGAUAUCCCAGUCAGAGAGAACAGUAUGAGCAAAGGCCCUGAGGCAGCAGCAUGUUUGGUAUGUUCUACUAAAGAGGCCAGUGUUGUGGCUAGAAUGGAGUAAACAAGGAAGAGAAUGGGACUAGGGACUGAGACCACAGAGCUGGGUAGGGUGGCUGGAUCAUAUAAAGCCUUGUACAUUAAAAUAAGCACAUUCUUUGGCUUUUAUUUUGAGUAAAAUGGAAGCUAAGGAGAUUUUUAAAAAAAUAUAUUUUAUUUACUUUUGAGAGAGCACAAGCUGGGGAGGGGCAGAGAGAGAGAGACAGAGGAUCUAAAACGGGUUCUGUGAGCCCGAUGUGGGUCUUAAACUCAUGAACUGCAAGGUCAUGACCAGAAUCGAAGUCAGGUGGCUCAACUGACUGAGCCACCCAGAUGCCCCAGCCAUGGAGAUUUUUGUGCAGAGAAGUGACAUCACCUGACUUUAAAGGAGAUUUUUUAGUGUGAUAUAGAGUCAGGAAAUGGAGGAUAGGGUGGAUGGGAAGAGGUCACAUAGAAUUGUGCUUUCCAAAAUUGUAGCCACUAGCCAUAGGUAGCUAUUUUAAUGUAAAUCAGUUAUUUAAAAAUAUGAAUUCAUAUUCUUUUUUUUAAUUUUUUUUUUUUUUUGAGAGAGAGAGAGAGUGUGUGCAUGCGUGCAAGCAGGAGAGGAGCAUAGAGAAAAAGAGAGAAUCCCAAGCAAGCCCCGUGCUGUCAGCACAGAGCCCAAGGCAGGGCUGGAUCUCACGAAUGGUGAGAUCAUGACCUGAGCUAAAAUCAAGAGUCAGAUGCUCAAUUGACUAAGCCAUACAGGCACCCCACAGAUCCAUAUUCUUAAUUGCACUACCACAUUCCAAGUGCUCAAUAGCCACAUGUAGCUAGUGGUUACUGUAUUGGACAGUGAAAUAGAAAUAAUUUCCAUCAUCACAGAAAGUUCUGUUGGACAGUGCUGAUGGAAUCUUAAAGACCUUCAUAGAGUCUUUGGCUUUUACUCCGGGUAGAUGGAAAGCCGUUGGAAGAUUUUAAGCAAAGGAGGACAUGCUCUGAGUUAUGAUUUUGAAAGAUCACUAGGGUUGCCAUGUUGAGAAUAGACUGUGAGGGGCAAAGCUCAGAGACCAUUAAUUAUCUAGUUGGGAGAUGAUUGUGUCUUGGUUGGUUGCAGUGGUGAUCAUGAGAAAUGGUUGGAUUUUCAACAUACUUUGAAGGCAGACUCGGUAGGCUUUUCUGAUAGAAUUGAUGUGUGAUUUGAGAAGAAAGUGAUAAAAGUGUUGUGGCUGAAGAUGACGGGAGAGAACAUAAAGCACAGGUGGAAGGAUUGAACACACAGAGGAAGAGUCCCAUUCAUCAUGAACUGGGAGACAGAGCAGGGCUGCGGCUGGAAGAAAGAGGUCUAGAGCGCCCUCAUCUGAGUACUAAAAGAUGGAGAGGUAAAGGGAGAGAUAGGUGUGCCGAAACUGUAAGAAUGGUGGAGAAGAUUCCAAGUAGUUAUUGGAAAGGGCCCAUUUGAAGUUGGGGAUUAUGAAACCAUCUACUCUUUUGAUUCUCUCCAGCAGAAUAUGACUGCUUGCAUACAAGCAAGGGGGAAAGAGAUGAGUGGGUUCAUUCAGGGCUGAUGUUUUCCUGGAUGGAUUUGUGACAAGGAUAUUAUAACAUGGAGUCAAACUUGAUAAAGAGGAGAGUGAAAAAAGCAGAGGGCUGAUGAUUUGGGAGGAAGUAGAGGGAUCAGCACAUUUUCUUUGUUUCUUUUUUUUAAUUUCUAACGUUUAUUUAUUUUGAGAGAGAGAGAGCACAAAUAGGGAAGGAACAGAGAAAGAGAAUCCCAAGCAGGUUCCGUACUGUAAACGCAGAUCCCGAUGUGGGGUUGGAACGCAUGAACUGUGAGAUCAUGACCUGAACCCAAACAGAGAGUCGGAUGCUUAAUCAACUGAGCCACCCAGUGGAGGCACUAAUAGUUCUAAGAACAGUUGCAGCUGUAGACCAUGCAAGUUAGAAGGAGAGAUGCACAUCGAGGGGUGCCUGGGAGUCAGCAAUUUCUCAGAUGGAUGUUUCAGGUGACAACAAGUUCCAGCCUUUGGAAUCUAUGCAGCUGUAUCUUCAUUCUGGGCUGACUUGCUAUGUCCCGGGAUUCCACAUAAUCUGAUCUCACUGUGGAUCUCAUGUAGGCGGGUUUGGACACCAAAAGCCCAAGAGCAUGGCUGUGGGGCCUACCCCGCAGUUCCAGGCCCAUAGCAAAUAGGCUGUGUAACCAUGGACCUUGAGGAAAUGAACUUCAUGGUCCCUUCCAUCUCUCAUCUGUGACUGUAUGGCCUCAUUAUAAUUACAGUCUUUUUCCAAACACUGACCUUCAAGAUGGACCCUGGGGGAUUUGCCUAUUAAAAAUAUGCAACUUGGGGUGCCUGGGUGGCUCAGUCGGUUAAGCAUCCGACUUUGGCUCAGGUCAUGAUCUAGUGAGUUCGAGCCCCGCGUCGGGCUCCAUGCUGCCAGCUCAGAGCCUGGAGCCUGCUUCUGAUUCUGUGCCUCCUUCUCUCUCUGCCCCUUCCCUGCUCAUGCUCUGUCUCUAUCAAAAAUAAAUAAAUGUAAAAAAUAAAAAUAAAAAAAAUAAGCCUGGGUGGCUCCGUCAGUUAAGCAGCCGAGUCUUGAUUUUGGCUCAGGUCAUGAUCUCAGGGUUCAUGGGAUCGCGCAGGAUCUGAUAGCACAGAGCUGGCUUGGGAUUCUCUCCUUCUCUCUCUGCCCUUACCCUGCUUAUGCUCUUUUUCUCUUUCUCAAAAUAAAUAAACAUUAAAAAAAUAUGCAACUUUGCAAAUAUUUAUCUGCUGCUUCUUGGAAUAUUCAACUCUUGGAAAGCUGUCUUCUGGGUCACAUGACAGAAUGUUGGCCAUGUGGUCACCUGAGCCUGUGUGACAGGAAUUCUAUACCAGCUGCAUCUGGAUCUAGGUGUCCUUCAGGCCCUGCUCUCUCCAAUGCUCUCCACCUAACAAGCAUUUCUCCCUCUUUCUCUGUAUCUCUCUCUAUUUUAUUUUAUUUUAUUUUAUUUUAUUUUAUUUUAUUUUAUUUUAUUUUAUUUUAUUUUAUUUUAUUUUAUUUUAUUUUAUUUUAUUUUGUGUCGCCUGGUGGCUCAGUCGACCAAAUGUCUGACUUUGGCUCAGGUCAUGAUCUCACGGUUCAUGAAUUUGAACCCCACAUAGGGCUUUGCCCUGACAGUGUGGAGCCUGCUUCAGAUUCACUCUCUCCCUUUCUCUCUGCCUCUCCCCCUCUCGCUCUCUCUCUGUCUCUCAAAAAUAAACAAACAUUAAAAAAUAUAUAAAUUUAUUUUAAGUAAUCUCUAAGCCCAACAUGGAGCCUGAACUCGCCACCCUGAGACAGGGAGUGACAUGUUCUACCAGCUAAGCCAGCCAGACACCCCGCAUUUUUCUCUUUUAAUUGUGUUAGUGCCUCAUAGGAGAGCUCCUUCAGCAGAAGUGAUAGAGGCUGUUGCUCUCAGAAUCGAAUGCAAUAUUGUGACCUGUAAAUUCCUAUGACCAUUUCAACAUUUUGUUGAUAUUUAUUCAGGAGAGAUUCCAGAAGGCAAAACUGCCCCCUCCUUUCCCCUCCUCCUCCUCACCAAUCACUCUGACCUCUCUCUCGGGCUGUGAGAGUAUUAAGAACAAUCUAAGGUAAAUUUUUAACACGAUGGUCUAGCUUGGGCUUUGUAGGCUUGGCUAAAUGAAGUAAGUGGUAGUUUUUAGCCAAAAUAACCGCAUUGUUUGGACAAGUUUUCUCUUUUGAGUUUUUUAGGGUCAUUGGAAUGAUCUAACUACCUUACCUGCUAUUUGAACUGGCUGAGCUCUGGAAGGACAGAAAACAAAAGAAGGGUGUUGAAAUGCAAAUAGACAGCUCUAAAUUCCAGUCCCGGGCUGCCAAAAUAGAGCCAAAACUGACAAGGAGGGUCUCCACAGAGGUCUGUGGAAAGCUCUAGAAAAAUCUCACAAGAUGUAUUCCUUUUCGUGAAUUGGAGUCCUCCGGUAGGUAAGAAAAACAAAAACAAAAUAAAAACAAACAAAGGAUUUCAUACUUGGAAUUUGCUCAGUACCAGUUGAAUAGCUAAUUGUUUCUUGUUUUCAUCCCCCCCACCCCUCCUUUUUUUUUUUUUCUGCCUGAAUAGAUAAUCCUUACAAAACAUCCAUUCAUUCUACAAGUGAAAAUUUCAGGAAUACUCGAUACUGACCUUGGCAAGACUAAUGGACCGAGAUUGAGUGAUGGAUUUGUGUGUGUUGUGUGGCUGAUGUGCGUUUUGGUGUUUUGUAUGCUAGUUUAAGAACAUUUAAGCGAUAGGAUAGAAAAGAUUUAUGACAUCUUAAUUAAUGAAUAUGAUGAAGGCUUCAACUUAUAGAUGAAAUGAUAAGAUAUAACAUAUUUAUAGCUUAUUUUUGAGCACAAAUUUGAUUGUGUUUGUUGUUUCAAGAAAGGACCUGCUGAUAAUUAAUGCUAGCUUUUCAAUGUGACCACUUUAACUGAUAUGUAAACAAUUAUUUUUUUUUUUUAGGAAAAUAAAAUAAGGGGGCAAUACAGCCUAGUGAAAAGGACACACAAUAUCAGAUUCUUAGUUUUCUAUUUAAAUUUGGGCUCUUAUUUGACUUCUGCUCUGAACUGGCUGUGUGACUUUGAAUAAGUGAUUAAGUUCCUUUUUUUAAAAACAUAUAAAAUUGGAAUGAGAAAUAUGUGAUGGUGAAAAAAAUAUUUGUGAAGGCGUUUUAAAGUCCCGGGAGGAAAGCACAAUCAGAAACCACAGUCAGGUUGGCUUUUUCACUGAAAAUAUCGGAUUUUGUCAGUAAACCUACAUUUUAGUAUAUUAGUUUUUUUUUAAGCCAUUUAAUUUCAAGUGCUUACAAAAUCUUCAGUGUGUUAAUGGAAAGAAACGCCAUACACUCCAGAUGGCUACAUAGCAACUUUAUUCGGGUAAAAUAAUCUCUUAAAUCCUUGUAUUCAGAGUCACUAACUGUUGGCUUUAUAAGGUCAGUUUCAGCAUACCAGCCCUGUGGCUGUUAGGAGCUGAGCGCGUCCAAGAUAGCACUAACUCGAACAAACACAAACAGCAAAUCGUUUAAACAGUACCAGUUGAUCUGUAUGUAACCCGGUCUGAAAAGAGGAUUCCUCAAAAAGCUCACCAGCAAAGUUACGUUAGUUACGGAGAUUGUUAGGUGGUACCCGUGGAGGUUAGCUAUGCCUUAUUAAAAAGCAGAGGUUAGAAAAUGGAAUCUUAAAUUCAGAUACUCAAACAAUUUUAAAGGCUACGACUUGCAGGCCAACCUUUAUUUCUGACUGCUGACUACUUUUGAAGGAGAAAACUUUGGAAACUGAUAUUCUGGUUCCCAGGUCCUCAAAGAAGCGAAGUGAAGAAGUAAAUUCUGCUGGGGUUAGCAGAAGCCUUGCGGUUUUAGGAACGGAGGAUGCCAGGCUCCCUGGGUUCUGAGUUCCAGUUAUUGACUCUGUCCGUGAGUCACCCUGACUAGUCACCCACUGUCUUGUGUUUCCUUCUUUAGGGAAGAGCUAAGACUAUUGAUUUUUUUUUUUUAAGAUUUUAUUUUUAAGUUAUCUCUACACCCAACGUGGCUCGAACUUACAACCCUGAGAUCAAGAGUUGCAUGACUGCAACUACCUACCGACUGAGCCAGCCAGGCGCCCCAGACUAUUGACUUUUUCAGAGGUUGCAAAACACAUUAUAAAAGGAUAGGCUGGCACUAAACAAACAUGUAAUUAUGAAAUAUUAGAGGGGGUACAUAUUAAUAAAGGCAAAUGCAUUCCUUUUUUUUUUUUUUUUUUUAAUUUUUAAGUAAUCUCUACACCAACAUGGGGCUUGAACUCACAACCCCAAGAUCAAGAGCCACAUGCUGUACUGACUGAGCCAGUCAGGCACCACUAUAAGGGUAAGUGGAUUCUUUUGAAAAUUAGAAGUUGAUAAUCUUUAUGUAAGAAUAGGGAGUUUGACUUCAAAAUACAGUUUUAUGUUUGAACAUUGUGAAUUUGGGUCCUUGUUUGCUCUGUUAAUCUAUGUUGCUUACUGAAAGGAAACUGUUAACAAGUUGCCUUACUGGAAUGGUUAAUUGCUUGUCAGGGAUCAGAAUCCCCCCAGUCCUUCUAGAAACGUGUAUUUAAAUUUAGUAACCUGACUUUCAAAGAGGGAAACUAAUAUUUAUUCAUUGAGUGGAGGGCACUGAGUAUGGGUUUCUGUAUGUGUUGUAAACAAACCAAAAGUACAGAGUGAAUCCUCUAGAGACCAAAAGUACAGAGUGAAUCCUCUAGAGACCAAGAGUACAGAGUGAAUCCUCUAGAGACCCUAAAAAAGUUAUUUGUUUGUUUGUUUUGAAGGAAAUUGAGGCACCCAUUUUUGUCCUCACUUUCCCAGGACCACUAUUAAGCACCAGCUUGGGUUUUGAAUUCUGUCUUCUUGCUGGACAUCAAGUCGAGGCCUCCUUAACACAGCAAACCUUUCAAAAAUGGAACCCAAUGUUUGUUAGUUUUCUUAAUGGUGCCUCUCAUAAUUAAAAAAAAAAAAAAAAGUAUAAAUUUGAACUUUCCAUCCUUUCAGACUUGUUUAGACCCUCUACCAAUCUACCCAGUCCUGAGAGCCCUUCAGGCUUUCCAUCAGUGUCAAGCAUCCCUUUUCUGAUUCCAAGUGAUGGACUAUAUUCUCAUCACCCCAAAUUAACAGCUAUUGUUAUUUUUGUCAUAUCUGUUUCAAUUUUUUAAUGACAUAAAACAUUGGAGAUAAAGGUCAAGUUUCCUUUGAAUACUAAUUCGACUUCCGUUUCUUCCUUCUGUCUUCACCUCAUAGAACCCCUGUUUAGUUUGAUAUGUGCUUUAAAAAUAUUUUAUAUACGGGGGCUCCUGGGUGGCUCAGUCAGUUGAGCAUCCGACUUUGGCUCAGGUCAUGAUCUCACAGUUCAUGAGUUCAAGCCCCACAUCGGGCUCACUGCUGUCAGCACAGAGCCCGCUUCAAAUCCUCUGUUCCCUGCUCUCUCUGCCCCACCUCCACUCAUGCAUGCUCUUUCUCUCUCUCUCAAAAAUAAACGUGUAAAAAAUAUGUAUUUUCUAUAUGUUUAUGGCACCCAUAAUUAAUAUGUAGUAUUGUUUUAUGAUUUUAAAUACAUAUGAAUGGUUCCAUGUGUACUUAUUUUUCUAUGAUUUGCUUACUUUCACUGAAUGUUUGCAUAUGGAUCCAUGUAUCCAUAUAUACAUAUAUCUAUCCAUAUAUAUUAUUUAUAUUUAUAUAUAAAUAUACCAGAUAUAAAUUAUUUAUAAUUUCCUGGUAUUUCAUGGUAUGAAUAAUACUGUAUUUUAUUAAUCAGUCCAUUAGUGGAUAUGGGAUCUUUUUAUAUUAAAAUUUUAUUUUAUUUUAUUUUAUUUUUUUACAGGAUCAUUCUUUUAUUUGCUUAUUUAUUCAUACACAACACAGACUAUUAGGGAGAUAUGGAUUGUUUUACAAUGUUAGCGAACAUAAACAAUGCUUAUUAUUUUUAGGUAAAUUAUUUUUACCUAUGUCAGAUACAGGUGUUAGUUUUUUAGGCUGGAUACCAGCAUGUAGAAUCACUACAUUUUAAAUAUGCCAAAUAUCACUUUCAAGAGAUAUCACCAAAUUGAUUUUCAACUGUUUGAAAACUGUUCCUUAAAUACUCUCAACACUUGUUAGACUUGCUUGCUUUAAAAUUUAUUUAAAAACAUUUUUUUUCUUGUGAUAAGGACUCUUAAGAUCUCUUAAGCAACUUUCAAAUAUGCAAUACGGUAUGGUUAACUAUCUUCACUAAGCUGUACAUUACGUCCCUAUCGGGCUUCUUAAUUUUUGCCAAUUUUAGUGGUAACCAGUGGUUUUCUCUCGGGUUUUCUAGCUUCCUUUCAGUUCAUUAUAUUUGCAGUCCUUCCCUAAGGACCGAUCUGUUCAGAGGCUCUCCGGGCCAGACACUUCAGAGGCUCUCCACUAUCUGCUCAAUCCAAACCGCGGCGGCCCCAGCCAGACGCUCUGCAAGCAGCCCGCGUAGCCUCCUCUGUACGUGCCUGGCUGCACCAAAAUGAGCUACUCACCAUUUUCUCAAAUGCAGCUCUUGUUUUUCUGCCUCUGCAACUUGAUCACGCUCUUCUGUGUUACUUUAUUGAUUCAAUAAAUAUUUAGUGAGUUCUUUACUUCCUGCCAGGUGCCGAGAAUGUAAGGGUGAACCAGAAAGGCAAUAUCUAGGCGUGCACGGAGGUUACGAUUUCUAGCAGAGGAUGGGAGGGGCAGAAAGAAACCAGUAAAAACAAACAAACAAACAAGAUCAUUUUUCAUAGUUGUAAGUACUAUAAAGAAAGCGAAAUGGAAUAUUCAUGUGACUUUGUGUGGAGUUGGGUGUGUUGGGCAAGGGGCUGGGGCGGGGAGUCCAGGGUACGUGGGCAUAUCGGCGUGGGAGCCUUAGAAGGGCAGGUGCUCAGGGAAGGCUUUGCAGAGGAGGUGAUAUUCCUCCUGAGAUGAGCUGUAUGAAGCUAACUCACAGCCCAGGCAUGUUGCUCACCUGGAGCUGCUUCUAGGCAGGGAUGGCCCGGGUGCACUGAAGAACAGAGCUGCCUCUGUGGCUGGGUGGUCAGGACUAGGGGAGUGGUUGAUGCCAGAGGAGGCACCUUGCUGGUGUUCUCUUCAACUGUAGUUUGUCCUUUAGAUAUAUAUUUAUUUACUUUUAAACUCUACCCCUCACAUGGGGCUGGAACUCACAACCCUAAGGUCAAGAGGCUCAUGUUCUACCAACUGAGCCAGCCAGGGGCCACUGUAGUUUAUCCUUCUUUUCUUUCUUUCUUUCUUUCUUUCUUUCUUUCUUUCUUUCUUUCUUCUUUUUUUUUUUUUUUAAGUUUACUUAUUUACUUAUUUUUGAGAGAGAGACAGAGAAAGGGAGCCAGUGUGAGCAGGGGAGGGGCAGAGAGAGAGGGAGAGAGAGAAUCCCAAGAAGGCUCUGUGCUGUCAGCACAGAGCCCCACACAGGACUCGAUCUCACAAACCGAGAGAUCAUGACCUGAGCUGAAAUCAAGAGUCAGACUUAACCGACUGAGUCACCCAGGUGCCCCCUGUAGGUUGUCCUUCAAAGCCAUGAUCAAAUGCUCUUUUUACACCCAUGCCUGAGCCUGCCAGCUGAGAGCCAUCUUCCUGGACCCCCAUGGCCCAGUGGAGGUCCCUCUUAUGGAACUUUAUGUGGCACUUUGGGAUCUUGGUGUCUGUUCUUCCCAAGAGCUAAUUUGCUUUCAUUUUGAAAUUUUGUUUCUACCUUGUAGGGGGCAAUAUUUUAUUUUACUUUAUUUUUUUAGGUUUUAUAUUUUUAAAUAAUCUCUAUACCCAAUGUGGGGCCCAAACUUACAACCUCAAGAUGAAGAGUCUCAGGCUCUACUGACUGAGUCAGCCAGGCACCUGGCCAAUAUUCUUAUCUUAGAUUGAGGAAAGUAGAGGGAGAAAAGGUACAAUGCAGAAGAAGCCUGUCCUUUCUGAUUGAGUCACUUUGGAAGGGCCUGAGUUUCAGUGAAAUAAACUUCCCUUUAGUGUACCUAAGCUAAUUUUCACAGUGGCUCAUAAAAUUAAUUUACUUUUCUUUAAUAACUGUUAAGACCAUUUGGAGUUCCCAAAGUGACAUUUUUAUCCCACCUAGGUUUUUUUGUCAGAAUAUCAGUUAUUCAUUGCUAUUAACAAUUAAUAAUCAUUAACAAUCUUGGUUUGUUUACUUUUUUUUAACUGUAGUAGUUUUUUUUUUCUUUUUAAUGUUUAUUUAUUUUUGAGAGAGAGAGAGAGAGAGAGAGAGAGACAGAGCAUGAGCAUGAGCAAGGCAGGAGCAGAGAGAGAAAGACACAGAAUCUGAAGCAGGCUCCAGGAUCUGAGCUGUCAGCACAGAACCCAACAAGGGGUUCAAACCCACGAACUCCAAGAUCAUGACCUGAGCUGAAGUCGGACACUUAACCGACUGAGCCACCCUGGUGCCCCUGUUUACUUUUUUUUUUUUUUUUUAAGUAAUCUCAUGGGACUCAAACUCAUGACCCUGAGAUUAAAGAUUGCAUGCUCCAUGGACUGACACAGCCAGGUUCCCCAACAAUCUUGUUUUAGAUGCUGUGUCCACUCUGAGCUUCAGCUUUUUAUGCAGAAGUGAUGGUGUGUUAUCUGCAACGGGGACCUUUCUCCAGCUCCACCAGCUGUUGAGGCCAACAUUGUGUGCUCAAGACUGAUAUGUGUUUCAUGUGGUUAUAUCCCUUUAUCUUCAGGAUAAUCUUUGAGUUGUGAGUUAGAUUUAUUUUCUAGAUGAAAAAAAAAAAAAAAAACCAAACAGGUUCAUAGAGGUCAUUUUCUGUUCCCAGGUUACAGAAUUAGCAAAUAGUGAGCUCACAUUUAAAUUUGGGGCUUCUGACCACUUCUUUGUGAAGCUGCCAUGCUUUAAAUAAUAAUAUAGCAGACACCAACCGCUUGCUAUUUCCAGAUACAACCUGAACCACUGUGCUCUUAACCACUGUGAUGUGCUGUUAAUCUCUUCUUCCUUCUUUAAGUCUCAUUUUCUCUGAGCAUUUAUCAGACAGCGAGAGGCAAUUCAUGGAGGAGGGAAGAGCAUGAACUCUGUCUGGAGCUAGAUUGUUUGGGUCAAGGGCUUCUCGAAAAGCUUACUAGCUGUAAGCUAGUAAAAUCCCUGUCUUGUUCUUCCCUUGUUACCUAGCAAGUAACUAGGGGCAAGUUACUUAACAUCUCUAUAGGUUGGUUUCCUUAUUUUUAAGGUGAAGAUAAUAACCAUAUUACCUCAUUGGGUUUUUGUAAGGAUUAAUGGGAUAAUGCCCAUAAAGGGCUUAGAAGGAGGCUCCUGACCCCUGGAGCUAGCAUGGGCCUCCCACAGGCACUCGACAUCUCUGCCCUCUGCCUACUUCCCUCUGAGUGGUCUUCCCACAGUGGGUGGACUGCCUUAUCUCCCCAGUGACAGUGUGAGCUCUUGCUGGCUUGGUCUGCUUGUUCAAAUCGUAGGCUCCAGGGCAGUGCCUGGCAUGUAGUUGGUGCUCAGCGUGUAUUUGUUGUAUGUGUUUCGGAUAAACCUGAACUACAGGUUCCAUUUUGAACAAAAUAAUCGCUACUCUGGUUUCCCAUCAAUAUGCCCUAUGAAUUAGCGUUCCCCGAAAUUCCAUUUCCAGGGCUUCAAAUGUGCUCUCAAAUGACUCAUGAAUCUGCUCUUCUGGUUCUGACCAUUUUUAAAAUCUGUGUCUCCAACUACCUAUUGGAAAGAAAAUCCUGUAGGCAUCCCAAACUCUACAUGUUCAAAACCAAACGCACUGCCUUUUCCUUCAGACACAGGUCUUUCUUCUGUGUCCCCAGCCUGGUUGAUGACGUGUGCCUUCACCCGCCCACUUAGAGACCUUGGAGGCUCCCGUACUCUCCCCUCUUCCCCUCAGCCUGCAGCCGGCCACCUAAGUGGCUGCCCAAAACUUGCCUGUGAGUCACAGACAGAGGUCUGAAGCCAGUUUUCAGCCACCAGACUCCAAAGCUUGCACCCUCAACCUGAGAAAUUUCUCCAAAGAAGUCCCUCCUUUAACCUCAGGAUCCUUGUGCUAGUUUGGACUGGAUGUGUCCUGGCAUGUCCCACCAGCCUUCCUUGUGUGCUUGUGUACAGCUCCUUCUCCACCCCGUGGCAAGCACUGGCUUUCUAAAAUACAAAUUCAGGGGCUACCUGGGUGGCUCAGUCGCUGAAGCGUCCAACUUUGACUCAGGUCAUGGUCUCCCGGUCUGUGGGUUCGAGCCCCAAGUCGGGCUCUGUGCUGACUGCUCAGAGCCUGGAGCCUGCUUUGGAUUCUGUGUCUCCCUCUCCCUCUGCCCCUCCCCCACUCACGCUCUGUCUCUUUCUCUCUCUCUCUCUCAAAAAUGAAAAAAAACAUUAAAAAAUAAAAUAAAAUACAAAUUCUGUCUUGUGACUGCUGCAUUAAAACCACUGUUGGCUCCUUGUGCAUGUUUUAAAAUCUAAACUCCUCACACAGCAUACAAUCCCUUUCUUUGUCUUUGUGUAGCUUCCCUCCCCACUCCGUGGCCCCUGCCCUCAGCUGUGCCUUAGCCUUAAGGUCUCCUGCUAGACCAGGCAGGUUCUGCACAUGCUGCUCUGGGCCUAGAACACCCUUUCUCCCCUUUGCUUAGUGAAGUCUUUUUCAUCCUUCAACAUUUAGCUCACAAGCCACAUCCUCUGUGAAGGCUUUCAAAGAGGGCCCCAGUCAGCCCCUCCCACCAGUGUCCCUCACACGGCCUUCUGCGCCCACGAUUUGGGUGAACACAUUUCUGAAUCAAGAGUGCAGAUGUGACAGUUCAGAUGGCAAAGACUGUGCUCCUGGAGACAAUGGGACGGAUAAUUGAACGAAGUCCAGAAGAACCUCGUGGGAUAUCACUCCUUCUUCCUCUCCACCACCCUGUGAGGGGCCAGGAAGGGCCCUUCUCUGGCAGGGAGCUGUUUGUAUCUCUUCGUAUCUGCCCGGCACCUGGCACGAUGCCCACCCCAAUCGUUGUUGCCGAGUGUCUGAGGAUUCUACCGGGCCUGAGAUUUUUUAAAGAACAGAUCCAAAUCUCAUGUGUAAAUUCCGCCAAAUAACCAACCAACCCAACCAAGCCAGUAAGAGACAUCGUUUACAUCUUGGCUUUAUCCCUAAAACGAUUUGCUUUCCCUAGCCUCCGCUUCCUCGUCUGUGAAACAGGGAUAGGAGUAGCUAUUUCCAGGGGUUGCUGUGAAGAUUAAGGGAGCGAAUUGAAGGAAAUUAGCAAACACAGGGCCUGGCUCAGGAGUCUUUGUUUCAGGCGCAGAGAUAUGUGGAGCUCAUCACUAUAAACAGGAACCGGGAGACAAGGUCAUGUCCUGAAAUAACUUUUUAAGGUUAGGAUUUCAUUGGGAAUUUUAAAAGUUAAGACAAUGAAGAAUACCACUGAUAUUUACUAACAGCGUUAGCAUUCGAGGAUGCAUCCUCCUAAAUUUUACAAGAACUCUCUUUUAUCCACAAGAUUUAUAGUCGGGCUGGGGGAGGUGUGGUUCACCUUUGUUUAUCUGCUGUCUGAUCCCAAACUUAGCCCUGCAAAGGAGUCGGUGGGGUGAGUGUUUUACAGAUUGCAGGGCCCCACCCCACACGCCUACUGAAUCAGAAUUGGGGGCAGGAAGGGGACUGUAGAUGUACAUUUAUAAAAACCUCCCCUUGUGGUUUGAUCAUCUGCAAGUUUGGGGAACCACUAGUAUAUGUAUCUCUAGAAAAGCAUAGUGCUCAAAAGUCUCCAUGACUCAGCUUCAUCGUCUUUGUAAUUAAAAAAAAAAAAAAAAAAAGAGUUAAUUUGCCUUUGUGUGAACUAUUAGCUUUCUUAAUAAUGCCUGUUUCACCUUCACCGCGGUCUGUUCAUCCUGGAACAGGAUGAACUGGAAAGAACCGUUCCAGUUAAACAAUAGUAGGAAAAAAGGUGCAAACUUUACCAGCUUCCCUACCACCUUAGCAUCAGUGAGGUGUUUCCCCCCAUGUCCUUCUGGGGCAAUUUAAAUGCUAAUGUGUCAGUACUAUAAUCUCUUUAGCAAUCAGAUAGAAUUGUUUUUCUGCCAAUCUUAUUUCUCUUUGUUUUAUAUUUGUUCAUUCAUUCGUUCGUUCAUUUGUUCAUUGUUAGAGAGGCAUAUGUUUAUCAUCUUUGACCUUUCAAACCUCAAGAGAAGAAGAAGAAGAAGAGGAAGAAAAUUCCAUCCUGGUAUCUUCUCUGCAGUACUUUCAAGAGGAGAGGAGGGCAUCCACCCUCUAAACCUGAGAUCUGCAAUUUGAAUGUGCUGAGUCACCUAGUCUGCAGGGUCAAACAUUUUGCACCUAGGAAAAGUACCGCAGAAAAUAAAACUGUGAGCAGCUAGCUGGUAUGUUGUUAUUUGGAUACGAAUAAGAAGACUGGAACGGGGAUCAUGCGUAGUAACUUAUUAUUAACUUUUAAACUUGUUUUCAGAGAUUUCUAAUAGUCUGGUAAAUCCUCUUUCUGUCUGGUGAUUUGUUGGUGAAAUUCUUUAAAUAUUUCUUCCUGUUCCUGGAAAGUGAAAAUGAAUAUAAAUGGUAAAGCAGUUGUCUUACAAUGUUUAGAAAAAAGGAAAAAAGAAAUGGUCUUUGCCAUUAUUCUGAAGUUUUGCAUAACUAAGCUUCUUGAAUUAGCUUUCUUUCAAAGAAUUAGUCAUAAAAGCGUAACAGUAAUGAACUAGAUAUUGAGAGCUGGUGUCUAACUUUAGUCAAACUUUCAGUAAGUCUGUUUUCUUAUUUGAUCAUGUAGUUGAAUAGACAGUGAGGAGAUGUGACUACAACUGGAUUAAUAGGGGAAGUGGCAGGAAGCUGCAGUUUCCUGAGAAUCGGAAAGAAAGUUUACAGAACGCUUGCUGGGAAUGUGGAUUAUAGAUAAAGAUAAAAUUCGUAACCAUUUGUAUUUAGAGUGGCUAUUUUAUUUCUAUAAUAUGAAAGUGGUUCCCUUUAAGGAAGCAUUCGGAACUCAAUGACAACAUUCCUUCAACAAGGAAGUCAGAACCAGUUAAGAUGACUGUCUUCCAGAGCGUGUUAAGUCUUGGGUGGGGAGCAGAGGCUUGAUCGCUUCAUGGAUGGAGCAGUGGGCACCGAGAUCUCCCAGCCAGCGCCUGUGGAAUAACAACAAAAUAAGUACUGUCCCCCCCAGUGUUCACUUGCUCUGUGCAGCGACAGUGCUAAGUACCUAGUUGCACUCUCUCUGAACAUCCUUAUAGUCUCCAUAAAGGAAGAGCUUUUGUUUUUAAUAGCUUAAAGCUGAGUAUACUAAAACUUAGAGGCUAAAUCAUUCGCAUAGCGCUUCUAGACAGUGGCAGAGUGAGAAUCUGAGCCCAGGAGAAUGAUUCUAGCCCUGGUGUCACUGUGGAGAGUGCCUCUUAGCUCAUAAAAAUGACUACUCACCGACAAGGAAUGUUAAAUAUGGAAAGAACAUCAUCAGUUGGUUGGAGUUCUUGUUUUCUCUUGGAGAACAAUUAAGGAGGGGGUGGGGACGGGAGAAAGAGAAGAAAGGGCCGGAAGACUGCAAAUAGCCACCCAGGAGCCCAGCGGGACGCAGAGCAAGAUUCUAACUUAGCACACCUUCUUGCUCAAAGCGAUUCUGUCAUUAGCACCUAUAGAUGAAAACGUGGAAUGUAUUACACAUGUGUUUUGUUUGUUUCCACCUUAGAUUGAUGGACAUAACACAAUGACUUGGCAUUAAAAGAACAAAAAAAGAAACCCCUAAGCUAACUGCCUUUCAUUUGACUCUCCAGAACCGGAAGUAGGCUAACAUUCUACAGGUAGAGGGGCAGGGCAAGGACACGAGCAUCUAGCAUUCAGCAGAGUGGUCUGAAGAAAGGGUGCAGUGUAGGCAUCAGGCCGACAUGGCUCUGCGUCUCUGUUGUUUAUAAGCCUGGUGAUCUGGGUCAAGUGACUUGAUCCCUAUGAAAUCAGGAUGGUUCCUUUUCUUCACAAGACCUAGCGUGGGACCAGAGGAGAGACUCAGCAAAGUGAAUUUUUAAUUUUCACUUCCUCAGAGGCCCAGGUAAGACUAGUUCUGGCAUAGAGCAACCUGGGAAACCACAUAGAGAAUAGAAAUGCUCUGGGUUCAGGUGGCUAUGUCUGAGCCCCAGCUCGGGUCAGGGGAGUUCUCAUGGAGAAGAUGAGAUAUAAGCAAAGAUUUGAAGUUGCUGAGGGAGUUAGUCAUGUGGGGAUCUUGGUGGAAGGUCCUCAGGCAGAGAAAAUAGCUAAGGCAAAUAGAAAAUUGCCUACUGGCCAGAUUUAGGAAUAAAAAGGAAGGCAGUGUGCCGGGAACAGAGCUUGUGGGGGGAAGUAAUAGAAAGUGAGGUUAGAGAAGUAAAGGAGUUGGACUGUUAAGCAUUAUCUUAAUGAUUGAGGGGGUACCUGGGUGGCUCAGUCAGUUAAACAUCUGACUCUUGAUUUUGGCUCAGGUCAUGAUCUCACAGUUUGUGAGAUUGGGCCCUAUGUCAGGCUCUGUGCUGACAGUGUGGAGCCUGCUUGGGAUUCUCUCUCCCUCUCUCUCACCCCUCCCCUGCUCUCGCUUUCACUUGCUCUCAAAAUAAAUAAAUAAACAUUAAGGGAAAAAAAGGACUUUGAGUUUUAUAAUGAAAGAAAUGUGAAGAAAUAUGGAGCCAUUGCUAGGUUUUGAGCAGAGGCGGACAUGAUGAGACUGAGGUUUCGAAAAGGUCAUUCCAAUUGCUAUACUGAGAAGAGACUUGCAGAGGCAAGUUUGAAGCAGGGAGACUAGUAAUCCAGACAAGAGAGGAUAAUGGCUCUGACCAGGGUUCAUGACAGUACAGGGGAUAAGAAGUGAUCAGAUUCUGGACAUAUUUUGAAGGUACGACCAGUAGGACUUAUCAUGGGUUAGAUAUGAAAUAUUUUUGGCAUGAGCAGUAGGAAGGCUGGAGUUUGCCAGCAACAUUUGGGGGGCAACAUGCAGAUAGAUGAAGCAGACUUGCGGGUAAGACUAAGACUUCACAUUUGUCCGUGUUGAGACGUCCACUGGAUAUCCAAGUGGAGGUCAAUGAGUGGAAAGAGAGGUCUGAUCUGGUGACAUAUUUGGAAAUGAUCAGCAUAUAAAUAUUCAAAGACUGGUGACUUAGGGAGAUCAUAAAGGGAGCAUUGAUAGAGAAGAGGAGGGGUCCAAGGACUGAGCUUUAGGGCACUCCAACACUGAGAGUUCUGGAAGAAGAAGAGUGAUCAGCAAAGGAGACUUGAGACAAAACAACCAGGGAGGCUGUUGGGAAGGUGCCAUUCACCAGGCAGAUGGUAAAGAAAGAAUUCUAGCUGAGAGGAGGGCUGAAAGCAAAGACUCAGGGCUGUGAAAAGCUGAUUUGGGAGAGAGGAGGAGGAGAGCAAGUGGUAUGGUAUGGGGAGCUUGUGGGGGAAACGUUGGGGAGAGACAGGAGAUGAGGCUGGAAAAGGGGCUUUCCCAAUUUGAAAUGGCUUUGGAUUCUCAACUUAAGACAUCGGUGGUUUAUUUCAUGAUGUUGGCCACUAGGAUCCAUUGAGGUCUUACUCGAAUUUAUCAUGUGUCACGCACUGUACUAAGCACAUUAUAUACAUUUCAUCAUUUCAUCUUUAUACCUACCCUUUAAGAAAGAUAGUAUUAUUAUCCUCUGUAGGUGAAGAAACUGGCUCAGAGAGGUCAAAGGUUUCACCCAAGGUUACCCCUCGAAUGACUGCCUUUAAUCAGGUGGUUCCAUUCCAGAGUCCAUCCUUUUAACUACUAACCUAUCCUGUCUCCUGGAUGGCUUAGCUGGGUGUUAGAAGGUUAGAGGCUGAGAACUUGCACCCUUUCUCUGGAGAGGAUCUGGCUUCACUCUGUCUCUUGGAGGAGAUGCUUUAUGUGCAAAAGUUCAAGAUAGAUCUGGGGCACCCAUGAAGGAUUUCAAGUAGGUCAGUGACUAGAUCAUAGUAGCAUAGUGUAGCAUACUAAUGUAGUGGCAGGGUGGUGAACAGAAUGGAUGAGGGUGCCUGGGAAUAUGGGCAGGGAGAUAGAUUUGGGGAGCGAUUAGCUGUAUGUGGGACUCUUGAGGGACCUGAGGGCUGGCCAAGCAGUGCACUGUGGGCUGCGGGUCUGGGCCUCAGUGGAGGCUGAUCUGGAGCUGUGGAGUUGAGAGUCAAAGUGGUUGUAGGAAAUGAAAUCACAGUCUGGGUGAGGGAAGCAAUUUUCAGGUGUUCAUUGUCCAUAUUUACACCCUUUUCUGAAAUAGAUCCCCCUGAGAACAAGUCAGCUUCCCACUUUACAGAAAAAAGGCACCCCUCUUGCCUCUCUACCAUCGUACUGUGAUGUGUUUGGGGAGUGUACAAAAACCUGGGCUCCAAACAAAGGGGCCAUUCUAAAUACUGACGCAGGUGUGAGAAAGUGAGUGACUAAGGACUGGGCCACACUUCCUUUUACGAAUCAGGUGGUUUUGGCUGUUUGCUUUUAGCACUUUUGGAGGGAGACCUAAACAUAAUUUUUGAUGAUAGAUUACAAAGUGAUUGUGGGGUUCUGGCUAGCCUGGAUGUCAAAGAUUUGAGCAACAAUGGUGUAAGUAGAAUACUUCCAUUCCUUCACUUGUGUAUUUUGUUAAAUUUUUUUUAAUGUUUAUUCAUUUUUGAAAGACAGAGACAGAGCACAAGCAGCGGUGGGGUGGAGAGAGAGGGGGACACAGAACCUGAAGCAGGCUUCAGGCUCUGAGCUGUCAGCACAGAGCCCAAAGUGGGGCUCGAACUCACAAACCGUGAGAUCAUGACCUGAGCCAAAGUCGGACACUCAACCGAUUAAGCCACCCAGGUGCCCUCACUUGUGUAUUUUGAAGUGUUUCUCAGUGAUUGCAUCUGAAAAAAAAAAAAAAAGUAGUAAGAUGUAAUUAUGCCAAACUAUUUCAGUGUGAUUCAAAGGCAUCCACAGACCUAUGAACUAAUGUUUGGAAAAUAAACCCCGUUCAUCUCUAGUAAUGGAUAUAUUUCCAACAAAAUUUUACUUAAAAAAUUUUUAAGUUUAUUUUUGAGAGACAGAGAGAGAGCGCCCGCAAGUGGGGGAGGAACAGGGAGAGAGAGGGAGACACAGAAUCCGAAGCAGGCUCCAGGCUCUGAGCCAUCAGCACAGAGCCUGAUGUUGGGCUUGAACUCACAAACUGCGAGAUCAUGAAUUGAGCCGAAGUCAGACGUUCAACCAACUGAGCCACCCAAGAACCCUCUCCAAAUUUUACUUAUUAUGUUUAAUAAUUGUCAAAUUUUGCAAUAUACUUCUGAUGCUUUGAUUGUGUAUUACCAAUAAUUAGAAUUUAUUACUACUCAGUAUUACUAUUCAGUCCAAUUUUUUUGCAUGUAUUUGGUGAAUUAUGGUCACAGAAACUUUUUUCUUUUAAUUUUUAUUUCUAAUUUUUAAUUUAAUUUUUAAUUUAUGUAUAUAGUUUGUGGAUGAGAUAGAUGAAAAGCUUAUUGAUAACAAAAGACUUUGAAACAUAGAAAUAAAUUGGGUUUAACAUCUGUGGGUAACACAAAAAUUUGUACAUGGAUGUUUCUAGCAGCAGUGUCUACAAUAGCCAAAAAGUAGAAACAGCCCAAAUGUCCACCAACUGAUGAAUAAAUAAAAUGUAGUAUAUCCAUAUAAUGGAAUAUUAUUGGAUUAUACAAGGGAACUAGUACAGAUACAUGCUGCAACAUGGAUGAACCCUGAAACGUUAUGCGAAGUGAAGGAAGCCAGUCACAAAAGACUACAUAUUGUAUGAUUCCAUUUGUAUGAAAUGCCCAGAAUAAGCAAACCCGUAGACAGAAAGUAGAUUAGUGGUUGCUUAGGGCUGUGGUAGGGGACCAGGGAAAGGGGAGUAAUUGCCAGUCAGUACAAGGUUUCUUUUUGGGGUGAUGGAAAUGUUGUAACGUGGAUUCUGGUGAUGAUCGCCCAACUCUGGACAUUCCAAAAACCACUGCAUUAUACACUCAAAGUGGAUGGAUUGUAUGAUAUGUGAUUUAUAUUUCAGGAAAGCUAAGAAAAACACCUGGAGGGAAAUGGAAUGGAAAAUACGACUUAAAACAGAAAAAAAGAAUAAUGUACAAUUAUUGACUAUGAAGGAUCUUGUGCAUGUACAAAGCACCAUAAACUAGAUUCUUUGCAACCAUUUGAACUUGGGUUAAGAUGUGGACGUCAAACUAGACAUUGCAGGUACAACUAAGAAGUAGAAGGAGAGCAGGGAGGACUGUUUUCAGCUGGAAGGAGUGUCAGGGGUCAUCUGGACUGGGCCAGCCAAGGACUCCAAGCCAUCCGUUGGAUCCAGUUGGCAAUUAUGGAGUCCUUGAUUUUGACAUUCUCCUUUCCUACAGACUACAAUCCAGCGUGGAGGCUGGUGGCUGGAGGCAGAGUUGAGGGAGGUUAGAGAAGAGAGCAACAGGGAGGAAGUGAGGACACCAGCUGUGGACUGCACUUAAGAAGUUAGAACACAGAGAUAAUGGGGUGGCAGUUUGCUAACUUUGGGGAGAAGUGGUGUAAAGGUAGUUGUUACUACUCUACAAUGCAAUCAACUUGAACAUGUUUGUGGACGAAGGGCGAGAGAGUGGAGACGGGAAAGACGCUCAUUUCUGCCACGGGCAGAAUGUUCUGCACAUCAGCCAGCUUACUUCAGAGUUGUGCCUCUCUCCUCCAGCAAGCGGGGUCUGUCCUCACUCGGUAGCUCUGCGGGACCUCCCAAGUCCUUGUUCAGGCAACAAGCCACUAUCUUCACAUACUGUUUCCUAAACUGCUUAUCUCAUUUUUAAUGUUGCAGAUGUUUAGGGCUCCGACAGGGUAGGGGUGUGGGUGGAUAACAGGCUUGCUCAACAUUCUUUUGAAUCUGACUGAUUUAGGGUAAGAGUGGCUUCUAAAAAUUUCUUGGGUGGGAGUGAAAACAGAGGCUUUAAGGUCAAAAUUUUAAACUCACCUUAGUUCACGUGAACUCUGCUGGAAGUGAAGAAACCAAUCCUCCUCAAAUACUGGAGGAAAUGGGUCCCACAGAGUGGGAGGCAGACGAGAUGCCUUUUCCUUCUGUGGCCUGAGCCUCCACACACCAGCUGGGCCCCAGAGCACAUGGCUGAAUCCGCAGCAUGAGACCGAAGAGGGUCAUGUGAAAAUUCACAGCGAACAGGGUUUUUCCCCACAAGGUGCUCCAUUGUUACUCCAGUUCACUUGAACCUACUUCAUUAUUUUUACACUCUUACGAAAUGCUCUCAACAAGAACUGCAACAGUAAAGAGAAGAAAGGAAGUAUUUAGAAAUAUUAAGAGAGAGGCGUGGUUGGGACAAAGCAUCUUGCAUUAUCGUCUGCUGCAAUGAGGAGGAAAAGACUGAGCCAAGGGAAUUUCUUACAUUCCUCAUGUAUCUAGAGCCACACCAUCCAUGUGAAGGUCACAUCGGAUGGACACAGUGAGGUCAUGGUGAGGGAGUUGACUUCCGACACAGUGAGGUCAUGGUGAGGGAGUUGACUUCCGCUAGAUCUCCUCAGUCUUUAUAUACUCUCUUUUCCUGGCUUAAUGUUAACACUUGGUGAAUUACAGACUAUGUUACAAGGUGGCCAAAGAACGAUGCGGUUUCAGGUAGAUGUAUCUGAAGUUCCUUGGCAUUGAGCGAACAGUUUUCCAGGACAUAGUUUGGUGGAAACAGACUAGCAGCGAUGGUAACAAUUAUUAACGGGAGAAAUUAUUUGUCUUUGUUUUUGAAUUCCUACGUAAUAUUGUCAUUGUUAUCGUCACAGUGUUUUGUCCCGGGCCCUUAAGCUUCCCUUGCCCCCUGAGUGGCUAAGAGCACUGAGAACACAAAGAUAAAUAGUACACAGCCUCUCUAAAGAGCAGUUCUUAUUCAGGUGUCCAUGGAUCCUUGUCCUUGGAUGGCAUUCAGCGGCUUUGUGAACUUGAAUGGAGAAAAAAUUACGUUUUCAGUAACCUCUAACUGCAACGCAGUAUUUCCUUCAGAAAGAAACGGUGAUGGAAAACACAGUAGCAUCAGCCGUACCUGUGACCCGUGGUCACCAGGAAACACAUGUAUUUUCAUAUACAUAUCCCAUCACAGCUGUGUGCGGCUCUCUUGAAAUAUUGCAUAUACAUAUCGCUACUUUGAAAUAAUGGCAGUUAUUUGACCUGCCGCUGGAUAUUGUCAUUUAAUACGUCCGUGAAAAGGCACGUGUUAUUACAUCAAAUAUGUGUUUUGAUAGUCUGACAACCAUAUGUCGUGAUCAGUUCAUUGCACGCGCCUGUGUAGUUUACCUUAUUCUGGGAAGUCUUCACAAGACUGCCAAAGGUGACUGAGGCACAAUAAAUGGUUAAGAACCCCUUUAGGUGUACAGGUUCAUGGAAGUGGUGAGUAGAGGCAAGAAAUAUGCCCAGGAGUUACAGGAGCCCAAGAAGGGGGCUGACUCGGCUGCAGGAGACUCCUGAGCUGCAUCUGGAAUAAAGCGUGAAGAGCAGAAGAAAGAAGCAGGAGGUCACUUGCAGGGAGAGAACGCAAUGAGCGCACGCGGCCUGAAACCACCAGGCCUCUGUGGAAAUGGGGAGUACUGAGUGUUAAAUGCUUGCUUGCUGUACUGAGUCUUGGGGGUUAAAGAAUGAAUCAAAGACUCAGUCUAGAGGGUCGGUAAGCUCAUGUUUUAGAGCAAUUUUUAUGGGGACAUGGACAGGUUUCAAUUCCCUUGAAAGUAAUUCAGUGGCAUAUAAUAAUUUUUUUUUUUUUUAUGAGAGAGAGAGCUGGGGAGAGGGAGAGAGAGAGAGAGAGAGAGAGAGAGAGAGAGAGAAUCUUAAGCAAGCUCUGUGCUCACUGUAGAGCCCGGUGCAGGGCUUGAUCUCAUGACCCUGGGAUCAUGACCUGAGCCAAAAUCAAGAGUCAGACACCCAACCGACUGAGCCACUCAGGUGCCAGGGGUAUACAGCUUUUACAAACAGCUUUUUUGAUGUAUACUUCACAUACAAUGGAUGCAGAUAUGUGUUAAGUUUUGACGUGUGCAUACAUUGUGAACACGGCACAAUCAAGAUACGGGGUAUCUGUAUCACCCCUUCCCCCAAAGUUCCCUAGAGCCCCUCCUGUCCUGCUACCCCAUCCCUCCCCCGACAACUGCUCAUCUGUCAUGUAGAGUCAUGUGCUUUUCCAGAAUUUUAUGUGAAUAAAAUCAUGCACAAUGUACUCUUUUUGCACUGGUUUUGAGCAUAACGCUUUUGAGAUUCAUUCAUGCUGUUACAAAUCAAUAGUUCAUUCCUUUUUUAUUGUGAGAUGUAUUUAUUAUAGAAGUGUGUAUGUUGAGAAGGGGGGAGAGAAUCAACCGUUGUUUUCCUAAUACAAAGUUUAAAGAGGGAGCGGGAUUUCUACUGCUUAUCAAAUGGGAAUAUGGGUUAAAAAUUGAGAAAUGCUGGUCUGGAGUGUGGUCAGAGUGCAUUCCAGCCCAAGUUUUUUCCUACCGUCGAUGUUAAACUCAAGCACAUUUGGAAAUAUUUUAGACCUGAAAGAAAGCAUCGGGACAUCAAAACAAGCACCACAGCUGAGCGGGCCUUUGCAACCACAGGCCUUCUGAUGAAAAGAUUUGUGGAGACUGCCUAAUGAAGUGUUCAGAAAGCAUUCUGUGUGUCAUCUGUUUUCCUGACGACCUCCUCACUGGGUAGAUAAGGGGCAAGAAUUAUUUUCCGUGUUGCACAAAUAGGAAAUGAGGUAUAGUGAGUUUGAGAGAAUUAUUACUCAAAAUAGAAGUGAGUCAGGGGCAGAUUGGGGACUGCACACGACCUCUCCUGAUCCUCUAAUCCUAGCCUUGCUGGCAGGCCGGUCUGGCCCUAGGUUUUGAAGAAAAUACAAUGAUUUCACUUUCACUUUUGUGCUUGUGUGGGUUGUGAUAGAAUCUUUACAUUGGAGGAGUUAACGGGUUUUUUUUGUUUGUUUGUUUCUUCUUCCUUUUAAAAAAUUUCCCCUUUCCAACUUGGUAAAUGCCAACAUCUGUGUUUACUCCAUUCGGUUGAAUUCAGCCACCAAAUACCUGUUUUGCGCAAGGCUCCUUACCGGCAUGGAAGAGGCACCAAGCUGGAUAAACCCUGGCGGAGCCGGUAGAACAAAAGGACCAAAUGAGAAUUGAAUGCUGUUUCUUACCGUCUUUUGAGUCAUGGGAAAUUUGAGAAUCUGGUGAAAGUUAUGGGUCCUCUCCCUCAAAAAAAAAAAAAAAAAGAGAAAAGGAAAAAAAAAGCACAUAUGUGCACACACACACAAUUUUGCAAUGAUUUUAGAGCGUUUGAAGAUUUUCCCUUCCACUCCCGAACUUGUCCGUAGAAUGACCCGAGGGUAUUUUUUAGCAUGAAAUGAAAUAGUGAUGCCUUGAAGGAAGCACAAAGCCAUAGUCACUGACUAGAAAGAGAGAUUAGAGAUAAGAUCCAGGUGGGUCACAGGGGCUGGUGGGGCUGGUGGGGUAGGUAUGUUUUGAAACAGGCCUGUCUAGUUAGAGGUCAGGCAUUUGUCUCUAUGAGGCAGGAUUCCAGCAGAAGGAAGGAGGGUAGGAAGUAGGAAAACUCAAACAAUCCAACAAGCAGAGUUUGGCAGGAGGAAGAUUACAUGAUGAGGAAUCAUCAGAAUCAUUAGAAACCAUCAUAGAAAGAUAGAGGUCUUAUUGUGAGUGACGUUGGAAGCAAGGUGAGUACUCUUCCGCCCGCCACCCUGAGUGAAGUAUCUCUAUUGCCUUUGAUUUAUUUAUUUUUCAGGCAGGGGUUUUGGAGUGUGACUAGUACAUCCUCAUCGUAACGAACAAAGGAAGUAACAAAAAUCAGAAAUUCUCAAGUCAUAUUAUCUGAUCUCUAUUGAUAGUUGGUAUAUUUUGUUCUGGUUCAUGAACAUCGUCAUUCCUCAUCACUGUCUCAACUCUGACCGACCACCCUUGUCAAAAAAUAAGUCCUAUAAAUUUACCACAGUUUUUAUAGCUCUUCUCUGUUUAUGUUCCUUACGGUUUUUUUUUUAAAGAUUUUUUAACAAUUAUUUUAGAGAGAGAGAGAGAGUGAGAGAGCAUGGGAGGGGCAGAGAGAGAGGGGGUUAGAGGAUCUGAAGCGGGCUCUGUGUUCACAGCGGAGAGCCCAAAGUGGAGCUCGAACUCACAAACCGUGAGAUCAUGACCUGAGCUGAAGUAGGACACUUAGCUGACUGAGCCACCCAGGCACCCCUCUUUAUGGUUUUUUAAAACACAACAAACAUUUUAUACAAAUAUUGUUCUUAAUUUCUUAAGUUUAUUUUUCUUAUUUUGAGAGAGAGAGAAUGAGAGAGUGAAAUUGGGGAAGGGGAAGAGAGAGAGAGGAGAGAGAGAGAGAGAGAGAGAGAGAGAGAGAGAGAGAAUCCCAAGCAGGCUUCAUGCUUUUAGCACCGAGCCCAAUGUAGGGCUCAAACCCACAAACUGUGAGAUCAUGACCUGAACUAAAAUCAAGUCAGACGCUUAACCAACUGAGCCACCUAGAUGCCCCUGUUCUUAAUGAAAACAAAAACAAAAACAAAAAACAAACAACUAUUAUUACUUUAGGACAGAUACACAGAGGAGGAAUUAUUGGUCAGUGUGUAUGACCUUCUUUGGAAGAUAGUAGGCUUAUAUUAGUAAACAGCUUUCUGAAUAGUUAUUUGCCUGCUCUCUUACUUUCUUCUCUUUACUUAUUUUCUUUCAGUAUCCUUUGCUCCUUAGUCUGUUUCUUAAAUACUGGAGCUCCCCACUUCCCCACCCAUCCUGGGCCCUUUCUCACUGAACACGUUCUCUUCUUGACUCUCAUUCACAAUAAACACGUGUCAAAUGCCUGUCAUGUACCAAGCAUUGUGUUUAACAUCAUGACACGUAAUUUUCACCACGUCCCUGUCACAUGAUGAUUAAUAUCUUCAUUUUCAGACGUAGACACCGGAAAGGAAGGUUGCUUUCCCAGGGGCAUAGCCCCAGAGGCUCUUGGGGAAUGUCUCUGGUCCAUCACCUUAAGUGUGCACCUUCCGCUUCCACGUCUCUGCUGAGCUCGCCAGCAGCAUGUUAACGGCGGACAUUUCCAUCCAGUGUUCCCAUGGAUGCCCCAGGCUCAAUAUGUCAAACACAGCUUCCAACUCUUACCUGCAAACUAGCUUCCCCAUUGCGUAAGUCCCUAAUCCACCCUUAACAACGAUCUUUUCUUUUACCUGUUCCUAAUCACCCUACCCGGGUUUUAUGCACCAAUUCCAUGCCCACAUCCUGUAUCCUCCCACCCACGUGGACAUCACGAUUCCAAGACAUUUAGUGUAGCUUUCACCUUGGCCUACCUGCCUCCACUUAACUUUCCUCUCACCAUUCCUACUACUGGCAACUUGAGCAAACAGAUUUCUAAAACUUAUCAUGGUAUCUCCCCACCUUAAAAACUUUCAGUGGCUCCCCUUUACCUUCAAAAUAAAAUUCAAGGUUCUUAGCACGACCUCUCCGUGUCUCAGUUGCCGCACCCCUCCCCUCUGGUCUGCUGCUUUCCCUUUUCUUCGCUCUGGUUUCCAAUCCCAGGGAACUACUUGAAGUUAUAACAAAUGGGAUCCUGGCUCCCUCCUUUCUCCUUGACCCUGUAAACUCCCAUCCCUCACUUCUCCUGGCUGACUCUUCUUAUCUCUCAGAUCUGACUGUGGUGGUAGGGCGAGGGGGCCUUUCCUCCCUUCUCUUUCCUCACCCUCCCGGCCGCCUCCAGCAUGCCUGACUCCUUCACAGAGAUUAUCAGAUUUUGUUUUAAUCCUCUGAUUACUAUUGUGUUUUUCCAUUUCCUUGACUAAGACUUUUGAGAGCAGAGCCUGAGUUAUUUGAUCGUCUUUGUAUCCCCAUAGACUCCAAAGGUGCUCAGCAAACGUUUGGUGAAUAAGCUGUGGUGUUUCCCCAAAGCCUCCGCGCACUCAGUGGACGUCCAAUACCGUUUUUUUCUGUCCUAUAGGGCACAUAGAAUUGAGACUUUGCAGAUUUGACUUUAUAGGAAUGUACCGCAAAAGUCCCUGAAUAAAGGGGCACCUGGGUGGCUCAGCAGGUUAAGUGUCCAACUUCGGCUCAGGUCAUGGUCUCAUGGUUCAUGAGUUCGAGGCCCGUGGCUCCGCGCUGACCGUGCAGAGCCUGCUUGGGAUUCUCGCUUUCUCCCUCACUCUUCACUCUCUGCUCCUCCCCCACUUGCGCUUUGUCUCAAAAUAAAUAAAUACGCUUUCAAAAAAAGUCCCUAAAUGAGAAUUCAUUUGACUCUAGUGUUCUGAAUUGUAAAACCAUUGCCUGUUUUAGUCAGAUAGCUUUUGCUAGUAACCUCCUCCACCCCCAGUUUAGCGCCUACAACAACCAUGUGUUUAGUCCGUGAUUCUGUGGUCAGGCGAUUCUGGUCUGGGCAGCUCAGCUGACUUCUUCUGGGCUGGCCGAAUGGCUAGAGUCAGCCAAUGAGUUAGAUGGUGGCCAAAUAACUAAGGAAGGCCUUGCUGAUAGGUCUCGCAAUUGGCCAGAGAGCCUUGAUGUGUCUCCAUGUUUCUUCUCCAGCAGGCUGGCUCAGGCUCAUCCACACGGUAGUGUUAGGGCCCUAGAUACAGCAGGAGAGGAAACCCUCGCUGGGGAAUUAAAGCCACCGCUUGCAUCACAUUUUUUUUCACAAGUCACAGGACCAUCUACGAUGCAAGGGAUAGGAAGGUAGACUCUACCUUUUGAUGGGAAGUGCAGUGUCACACUCCAAGAAGAGAAUUCGUGGUCAUUUUUACAAACAGCUCCCUGGUCACUGAAUACAUAAUUUCCACAGUAUCUGAGAGAUACUAGGCACUUAAUAAAAAUCUGGAUUUUUGGAUAAUUUAUUGGUCACAUAUACAAAUUGCAUUGAAGUAUGCCUAGGAAAAAUUGAGUUCCAGUUUAUCUUAUUUUUGGAUCCUUGAUAUUAGUGUCACACAGAAUGCAUCAUUGCAGAGCUAUUAAUAAAAUGUUAACAUCAAUACCUCAAAUGCAUUUUUGGAAAAGGGAGUUAUUGAAGAAUAUUGAAUUUAAUGUAGAAUUGAAUUAAUUAAGGAUAAUGGCCAAAAGCCUGAUCGUAUUGGACAAGUGCCAGGUAUGGAUCAAAAGCUACAGAAAAGUUUGGUUUGCAUUUAAAAAAUAUCUUGUGCAUGAAGCCGCUCCAUAUCUGUACGCCUCAUUGUCAUUUCUAUGCAGAAUAUCUACCUACUAGAAUGGUUUCAUAUUUCUAAAAUUGUUUUCUGUUUUGGUCGGGUUACAAUUUUAGCUGCCCGACAUGAUUACAGGCAUACCUCGUUUUAUGGUGCUUUGCUUGGUUGUGUUUUGCAGAUAUUGUGUUUUUUACAAAUCGACGGUUCAAGACUUCAGUGGGGGAAGUAACAGCAGAUGUGAAUAUUAGCAAGAGAACUGGAAUGUAGCAGCGGACCUGGAAGAUGGGACUGAAUUGUCGUGAUCUCAUGACAAAACUUGAAUGGAUGAGGAGUUGUUUCUUAAGAACGAGCAAAAGAAAGUAGUUUUUGAGAUGGAACCUACUCCUGGUGAAGAUGCUAUAAAGAUUGUUGACAUGACCACAAAGGAUUCAGAAUUUACAUGGACUUAGUUGAUAAAGCAGGGACUUUGAAAGAAGUUAAACUGUGGGUGAAAUGCAAUCGUUUCUACAUUUCACAGGUAAAUCAUUCAUGAAGGGGGGAGUCAAUCGCCGUGGCAAACUUUACUGUUGUCUUAUCUGAAGACACUACCUCGGCAAUGCCAACCUUCAGCAACCUGCACCCAGAUCAGUCAGUUGCCAUCAGCACUGAGGCAAGACCCUCCAUCAACAAAAAGAUUAUGAGUCUCCCAAGGCUCAGAUGAUGGUUAGUGUUUUUUACCGAAGUAUUUUUU